GAUGAAGAACGUAGCGAAAUGCGAUAAGUAGUGUGAAUUGCAGAAUUCAGUGAAUCAUCGAAUCUUUGAACGCACAUUGCGCCCCUCGGUAUUCCGUGGGGCAUGCCUGUUCGAGCGUCAUCUACACCCUCAAGCCCUGCUUGGUGUUGGGUGCCUGUCCCGCCCCGCGCGGCGACUCACCCCAAAUGCAUUGGCGGCGGCGCCUUGCCCUUCCCGCGCAGCACAUUGCGCUUCUCGAGGCGGCGGGACCGCGUCCACGAAGCCGACAACCCGUCUUUGACCUCGGAUCAGGUAGGGAUACCCGCUGAACUUAAGCAUAUCAAUAAGCGGAGGA
Molecule: unclassified non-coding RNA, 334 nt
Filed under: soil metagenome
Description: partial contains 5.8S ribosomal RNA, internal transcribed spacer 2, and large subunit ribosomal RNA
Rfam family: 5.8S ribosomal RNA (bases 1-120)
Source: RNAcentral